Molecule: ribosomal RNA, 615 nt
Filed under: Theileria annulata
Lineage: Eukaryota; Apicomplexa; Aconoidasida; Piroplasmida; Theileriidae
Description: bacterial SSU rRNA
Rfam family: Eukaryotic small subunit ribosomal RNA
Source: RNAcentral
GACAAGAAAUAACAAUACGGGGCUUAAAGUCUUGUAAUUGGAAUGAUGGGAAUUUAAACCUCUUCCAGAGUAUCAAUUGGAGGGCAAGUCUGGUGCCAGCAGCCGCGGUAAUUCCAGCUCCAAUAGCGUAUAUUAAAAUUGUUGCAGUUAAAAAGCUCGUAGUUGAAUUUCUGCUGCAUUGCUUGUGUCCCUCUGGGGUCUGUGCAUGUGGCUUUUUUCGGACGGAGUUUCUUUGUCUGAAUGUUUACUUUGAGAAAAUUAGAGUGCUCAAAGCAGGCUUUCGCCUUGAAUAGUUUAGCAUGGAAUAAUAAAGUAGGACUUUGGUUCUAUUUUGUUGGUUUUAGGUACCAAAGUAAUGGUUAAUAGGAACAGUUGGGGGCAUUCGUAUUUAACUGUCAGAGGUGAAAUUCUUAGAUGACACAGGGAGGUAGUGACAAGGACACUGUCAGAGGUGAAAUUCUUAGAUGACACAGGGAGGUAGUGACAAGGACACUGUCAGAGGUGAAAUUCUUAGAGGUGACACAGGGAGGUGUGACAAGGACACUGUCAGAGGUGAAAUUCUUAGAUGACACAGGGAGGUAGUGACAAGGACACUGUCAGAGGUGAAAUUCUUAG